Molecule: small nuclear RNA, 108 nt
Organism: Mustela putorius furo (domestic ferret)
Lineage: Eukaryota; Metazoa; Chordata; Mammalia; Carnivora; Mustelidae
Source: Ensembl
AUGCUCCCUUCCACAGUAUAUCCACUGAAAUUGAAGCAGUACAGAAAAGAUCAGCCUAGAUCCUGAGCAAGGAUGACACACAAAAUUCACGAAGCAUUCCAUAUUUUU